This 286-nucleotide ribosomal RNA is filed under the name Lanistes grasseti. RNAcentral's name for it is "partial large subunit ribosomal RNA". It matches the Rfam family "Bacterial large subunit ribosomal RNA", at positions 1817 to 2160 of the family's 2925-position model. Lineage: Eukaryota; Metazoa; Mollusca; Gastropoda; Architaenioglossa; Ampullariidae. The record is from RNAcentral.
GGCUCUUUGAGGAAAAUUCAUGAAGAGUCUAACCUGCCCAGUGAUGUAAUAUUUUUAACGGCCGCGGUAUUCUGACCGUGCAAAGGUAGCAUAAUCAUUUGCCUUAUAAUUGAAGGCUCGUAUGAAAGGUUUGACGAGAAUUAAGCUGUCUCCGUUGACUAAUAAGAAAUUGACUUUUAGGUGCAAAGGCCUAAAUUUGACUAAAAGACAAGAAGACCCUAUUGAGCUUAAAAAUUUUAUGAUAUUUAUUACAAAUUAUUGAAUUCUAGUUCAUGGUAAAUUUUUA